AAUUAAAGAUUUGAAUACAGAAAUAUAUUUGUCAGACCCUUCUUCACCUAAGAUUUCAUAGAGAGUUAUUGUUUUCAUUGUUCUUGUUCCUUUUAUUUUUGUUAUUUUUAACGCUAACUAAGAAGAAAAUUCCCUCUUAGUAAUAACUGCUUUCAUAAACCAGUUGAUUAUCAUAGUAGUAAAAUGUAUCCCAACUACGAUUACCGUAUAAUUUAUUGGUAUAUAAGGCUGGGUUAAUUUGUUUUCUAACAAUGCUGUCUUUGGUUCGUGCAAGUGGAUAAUCGAUAAAUUGAUUUAGCAUUGGCAUAGUUUCUCCACUCAUAGAAGUAUAUGUUUUUACAGUUUGCUUUUUGAUGGGGAGAAACCAUGCUGUUUUUUCGGUUAAUUUAAUAAUUUACCAAAAAGUAACGUUAGUUUGUUCAUAGGCCCAACUACUAUUUUCGGCAGAAAGUUGCCCCCGAGGUGGACGACCUUUUGGGAGAUUUCAAUUUCUUUUUGUUUCUAUUCACCUCACUUUUUUUGUUUUUGGUAGGUCAUUUUCGUAUAACUAAGCGUUCGUCGGCGUGCUUUGGGUUCACAACAUGUGGUAGGUGAAAACAAGGGAUUGCUGUAGAAAAAGUUUUUUCUCCCAUUGUUUUGUCCUACCAUUCGUUGUAAAAACAUUGUCGCCGAUUAUCGCUUAGAAUGGGUAUACGAAAGUGACCAACAAAAAAGUAUUGGAAUAAAAAGAAAUCGCACUGAAAUCUCCCAAAAGG
This 755-nucleotide unclassified non-coding RNA is filed under the name Enterococcus faecalis V583. RNAcentral's name for it is "Ref30C". The record is from RNAcentral. Lineage: Bacteria; Bacillati; Bacillota; Bacilli; Lactobacillales; Enterococcaceae.